AAAAACUUUUGCCCGCCGACCUUUGCGUCCAAGGCAAAAUACCCACACCUGUGUGCACCGUUAUCGUUCUUUGGGCAGGGGCUUGGGUCCUCUCACCAGGAUUCAACUUCUUUUCUGGCUCUAUCCUCUCCGGGGACAGCUGGACAUGGGAAGCCGUACCCUGCCAGGAAACUCACGCUUUUUUGUCUGAAACAUCGUUUUUUUGCGAUUAUUACGCAUAAACCAAAACA
Molecule: unclassified non-coding RNA, 230 nt
Filed under: uncultured fungus
Lineage: Eukaryota; Fungi
Description: sequence contains ITS1, 5.8S rRNA gene
Source: RNAcentral